UUUGCUUCUCGUCGCUGCUUGGGUACUACGAGCAUGUGCUUAAAACUCAAAGAACUUGGCGGCUUGUUAACUACCUAGGGGAAUAUGUGCCUUAAUCCGAUAGUCCUCGACAUAUUUUACUGGGCCUUGAAAAACCAGUUGGUGUAUUGCCGUUGUCAGCUUGUUGUUGAGCAGAGAAAAACAGGCUAAAAGGAUUUGCCUGGGAGCAGGCGAAUUCCGUGAAUUCAGGUCGUAAUACUGCCUAUGGCUCUAGGGAGUGGGUGUUACAAUUUUUAAUUAGAAUACGAAUCUUUUUAUGAAAAAAAAGGUGAAGGUGAACUUAGGAGUAAGGGAAGAUUAAUAUGCUCCCCUGACCU
RNAcentral lists this ribosomal RNA (356 nucleotides) under Argopecten ventricosus. RNAcentral describes it as "partial 12S ribosomal RNA". It matches the Rfam family "Bacterial small subunit ribosomal RNA", at positions 874 to 1368 of the family's 1533-position model. The record is from RNAcentral. Lineage: Eukaryota; Metazoa; Mollusca; Bivalvia; Pectinida; Pectinidae.